CCUACGGGAGGCUGCAGUGGGGAAUAUUGGGCAAUGGGCGAAAGCCUGACCCAGCAACGCCGCGUGAAGGAAGAAGGCUUUCGGGUUGUAAACCUCUUUUGAUAGGGAAGAGCAUAAGACGGUACCUGUCGACUAAGCUACGGCUAACUACGUGCCAGCAGCCGCGGUAAUACGUAGGUGGCAACCGUUGUCCGGAUUUACUGGGGGUAAAGGGCGUGUAGCCGGGCUGACAAGUCAGAUGUGAAAUCCGGGGGCUCAACCCCCGAACUGCAUUGGAAACUGUUGGUCUUGAGUAUCGGAGAGGCAGGCGGAAGUCCUAGUGUAGCGGUGAAAUGCGUAGAUAUUAGGAGGAACACCAGUGGCGAAGGCGGCCUGCUGGACGACAACUGACGGUGAGGCGCGAAAGCGUGGGGAGCAAACAGGAUUAGAUACCCCUGUAGUC
This 442-nucleotide ribosomal RNA is filed under the name uncultured bacterium. RNAcentral describes it as "partial 16S ribosomal RNA". It matches the Rfam family "Bacterial small subunit ribosomal RNA", at positions 338 to 795 of the family's 1533-position model. The record is from RNAcentral.